Molecule: long non-coding RNA, 1882 nt
Organism: Hydractinia symbiolongicarpus
Lineage: Eukaryota; Metazoa; Cnidaria; Hydrozoa; Anthoathecata; Hydractiniidae
Exons: 2
Source: RefSeq, a predicted model, not a curated record
AAUAAACUGCCGUCAUUAGCUAGGAGGGGGAGAGGUGGGGGUGGCUUUUGGAGAUGGCCAGUCAGUUAGGCGCGUACAAGAGUUAUCUUACCUUCUUUCUUGCCUCCAGCGGUGAGUUAGGGGGCCACCAAUCCAUACUGUGUAUUUUACCGUGGUCACUCACAAACAGAGUUGUUUGCCAUGGUAUAGACAACCGCAAAAAACUAAAUUGUUUAAAAAGGAUAACUACCAUAACACAAGAACUCACAGUAUAGUACUAAAUUUGCACAAAGUAAAAGGCUAAGAGUAUAAAAUAUCAAUUGUUUAAUAACAUUCUAUGAAGUAUUCUAUAAUGGAAAAUCAUUUGAGACUUACGUAAUCAGCAUGAGAUAGUUUGUUGGGAAAGGUUGCUGAAUAUUGUUCCAUUAUUUAAAAAAAUGACCGCUGAGCGAAUGUAAAUUGGAGGUGGUUGUUUAUCUACACUAGGUACACUAGGUAACUUGUGAGUGAAGUGCAGAGCAAGUAUAUUUCGAGCUAAAAAUGGUUCCUUCCUGAUCAAUAUAGUAAAUUUCAAAAGGAAUAAUUGAAACAAGAACGUAUUGAAAUUUCAAUAAACACAUUGAAAAUGUGUAUGUACUCUUCAAAAAACAAUCACACAAUGGUUCCAUGGCGAAAAUCUAUUUCAUGAAAUUUAAAUUCACUUUUCGAAAGUGUUCUUCAAUUCAAUUCAAUCAAAGUUUCUAUGAUUAAAGUAGGUAAGAUAUAUUCAACAUCUGAAUAUAUCUUCUUGUUUCAUGCAAAAGAUCUAGAGUGGAUCUCAACAAAGAAUUAUCCUGCUAGCAAAAUGGAAAAGUUGCUCCGUGAAAAACUUGAAAAUAACAACAGCAAGCGAAAAGGACAACGACACCUUAUUUCAUGGGCAGAAGCAAUGCAUAUAAGGACAAACAAGAAACAAAGAAGGCAGAUAAUAAAAGAAGGAUUGAAUUACAUAGUAUGUAAAUCUGUGGAGACGUUGAUAAAGACUUCAUGAAAUGUUAUAACACCAUUGCGGGGACAUUGGUGUACCUCGUGUUGAGGAGAAGUCUGGCGAAGACAGUGAUUUUGAUUUCCCGUGGAUGGAAAAUACAGAGAUUGAUGGUAAGUAGAAUUGUUGUUACAUUUCUUGACACUUCAUAUAUCAUGAUUUUACACUCAUUGUGAAAACAUUCGGGUUGAGGUACUGUAGGGUUUAAAAAAUAGUGGCGACAACGAAAAUGAGUUGUUGAAAAGAUGCGAAGAAGAAGUCGGCAUACUCAAAAAAGAAAUGUCUAGCUACUGGCUUUUUUACAGUAUAAUUGGAAAAUGAGAUAGAUGUCAAUAGCUUCAACUUUUAUGCGAAUGAGGUAUGCUGAAUGCUUCUUUUGCCUAAUUGUGCUAGUUUAUAUUUAUAUUUAUUUUUUUUUGGUUUUGUCAAAUGUUCAGGAUUCUUCUUUAUUGUGUGCUUCUGAUUGGGAUAUCUUAACAACAGCGCUUGCAGUUUUAAAACUUAGGAUUAGAUAUGGUUUCUCAAAUGCUUUUCUAUGACAUUUUUUUAUAUUUCAGUGCUUACCAAUGGCGAAAAGGUUAAUCCUGAAGAGAGGCAUGUUUCCCUGUCCGGCUCAGACAGUGACCCGGAAUAAUGUAGCUGUUAUCGUCUGUAUUUAUUAUUUGAACUACCAUAGCUCUUUUCCGGGAUUACAUAUUUUUUCAAGAUUUCGUAUCGUAUCCGAAAUCUUGUUUAAACGGGCUUUUUCCUCCUUCGUUUUCCUUCUUAUCCUUCUCACUCAUUUCACACAGUAUGUUCUAUUGUUUGUAAUCUCUUUAAUAAUAGCCGUCGUCUGUCUGUCUGUGUGUCCGCGAAAGCCGUGUCCCGUAACGGAAACAC